RNAcentral lists this ribosomal RNA (868 nucleotides) under uncultured archaeon. RNAcentral describes it as "bacterial SSU rRNA". It matches the Rfam family "Archaeal small subunit ribosomal RNA", at positions 1 to 878 of the family's 1478-position model. The record is from RNAcentral.
CUCCGGUUGAUCCCGCGGGACCCGACUGCUAUCAGAGUGGGACUAAGCCAUGCGAGUCAACGUAGCAAUACGUGGCAUACGGCUCAGUAACACGUAGUCAACGUGCCCAGGGGACGAGGAUAACCUCGGGAAACUGAGGAUAAACCUCGAUAGGCCAUGAUUUCUGGAAUGAUUCUUGGCUCAAACCUAUAUGGCCCCUGGAUUGGACUGCGGCCGAUCAGGCUGUUGGUGAGGUAAUGGCCCACCAAACCUAUUACCGGUACGGGCUCUGAGAGGAGGAGCCCGGAGAUGGGCACUGAGACAAGGGCCCAGGCCCUAUGGGGCGCAGCAGGCGCGAAACCUCUGCAAUAGGCGAAAGCUUGACAGGGUUACUCUGAGUGAUUUCCGCUAAGGGAAUCUUUUGGCACCUCUAAAAAUGGUGCAGAAUAAGGGGUGGGCAAGUCUGGUGUCAGCCGCCGCGGUAAUACCAGCACCCCGAGUGGUCGGGACGAUUAUUGGGCCUAAAGCAUCCGUAGCCGGUCCUGCAAGUCUUCCGUUAAAUCCAGCUGCUCAACAGAUGGGCUGCGGGAGAUACUACAGGGCUAGGAGGCGGGAGAGGCAAGCGGUACUUUAUGGGUAGGGGUAAAAUCCGCUGAUCCAUAGAAGACCACCAGUGGCGAAGGCGGCUUGCCAGAACGCGCUCGACGGUGAGGGAUGAAAGCUGGGGGAGCAAACCGGAUUAGAUACCCGGGUAGUCCCAGCUGUAAACGAUGCAGACUCGGUGAUGGGUUGGCCUCGCGCCUGCCCAGUGCCGCAGGGAAGCCGUUAAGUCUGCCGCCUGGGGAGUACGGUCGCAAGACUGAAACUUAAAGGAAUUGGCGGGGGAGCA